UAAUACGUAUGGUGCAAGCGUUGCUCGGAAUUACUGGGCGUAAAGGGUGCGUAGGCGGUUAUGCAAGUCUGUUGUGAAAUACUGUGGCUCAACUGCAGUGCUGCGACAGAAACUGUAUAGCUAGAGUCUCGGAGGGGCAGAUGGAAUUCCCGGUGUAGCGGUGAAAUGCACAGAUAUCGGGAGGAACACCGAUGGCGAAGGCAGUCUGCUGGACGGAGACUGACGCUGAGGCACGAAAGCGUGGGGAGCAAACAGGAUUAGAUACCCUGGUAGUCCACGCCCUAAACGUUGUCAACUAGGCGUAGGGGAGAUUUAAGGGCUCUUCUGUGCCGGAGCUAACGCGAUAAGUUGACCGCCUGGGGACUACGCUCGCAAGAGUG
RNAcentral lists this ribosomal RNA (380 nucleotides) under uncultured bacterium. RNAcentral describes it as "bacterial SSU rRNA". It matches the Rfam family "Bacterial small subunit ribosomal RNA", at positions 521 to 896 of the family's 1533-position model. The record is from RNAcentral.